GGCAGCAGUGGGGAAUUUUCCGCAAUGGGCGAAAGCCUGACGGAGCAACGCCGCGUGAGGGAUGAAGGCCUCUGGGCUGUAAACCUCUUUUAUCAAGGAAGAAGAUCUGACGGUACUUGAUGAAUAAGCCACGGCUAAUUCCGUGCCAGCAGCCGCGGUAAUACGGGAGUGGCAAGCGUUAUCCGGAAUUAUUGGGCGUAAAGCGUCCGCAGGCGGCCCUUCAAGUCUGCUGUUAAAAAGUGGAGCUUAACUCCAUCAUGGCAGUGGAAACUGUUGGGCUUGAGUGUGGUAGGGGCAGAGGGAAUUCCCGGUGUAGCGGUGAAAUGCGUAGAUAUCGGGAAGAACACCAGUGGCGAAGGCGCUCUGCUGGGCCAUCACUGACGCUCAUGGACGAAAGCCAGGGGAGCGAAAGGGAUUAGAUACCCCUGUAGUCCUGGCCGAAAACGAUGAACACUAGGUGUCGGGGGAAUCGACCCCCUCGGUGUCGUAGCCAACGCGUUAAGUGUUCCGCCUGGGGAGUACGCACGCAAGUGUGAAACUCAAAGGAAUUGACGGA
RNAcentral lists this ribosomal RNA (556 nucleotides) under uncultured bacterium. RNAcentral describes it as "bacterial SSU rRNA". It matches the Rfam family "Bacterial small subunit ribosomal RNA", at positions 347 to 917 of the family's 1533-position model. The record is from RNAcentral.